This 433-nucleotide ribosomal RNA is filed under the name uncultured bacterium. Its description in RNAcentral is "partial 16S ribosomal RNA". It matches the Rfam family "Bacterial small subunit ribosomal RNA", at positions 29 to 507 of the family's 1533-position model. The record is from RNAcentral.
AACGAACGCUGGCGGCAUGCCUAACACAUGCAAGUCGAACGAGACCUUCGGGCCUAGUGGCGCACGGGUGCGUAACGCGUGGGAACCUGCCCUUAGGUUCGGAAUAACUCCCCGAAAGGGGUGCUAAUACCGGAUAAUGUCUUCGGACCAAAGAUUUAUCGCCUUGGGAUGGGCCCGCGUUGGAUUAGCUAGUUGGUAGGGUAAAAGCCUACCAAGGCGACGAUCCAUAGCUGGUCUGAGAGGAUGAUCAGCCGCACUGGGACUGAGACACGGCCCAGACUCCUACGGGAGGGAGCAGUGGGGAAUAUUGGACAAUGGGCGAAAGCCUGACCCAGCAAUGCCGCGUGAGUGAUGAAGGCCUUAGGGUUGUAAAGCUCUUUUACCCGGGAUGAUAAUGACAGUACCGGGAGAAUAAGCUCCGGCUAACUCCGUG